This 497-nucleotide ribosomal RNA is filed under the name uncultured bacterium. RNAcentral's name for it is "bacterial SSU rRNA". It matches the Rfam family "Bacterial small subunit ribosomal RNA", at positions 137 to 635 of the family's 1533-position model. The record is from RNAcentral.
UCUGGGAUAAGCACUGGAAACGGUGUCUAAUACCGGAUACGAACUUCAGCCGCAUGGCUAGGAGUUGGAAAGAAUUUCGGUCAAGGAUGGACUCGCGGCCUAUCAGCUAGUUGGUGAGGUAAUGGCCCACCAAGGCGACGACGGGUAGCCGGCCUGAGAGGGUGACCGGCCACACUGGGACUGAGACACGGCCCAGACUCCUACGGGAGGCAGCAGUGGGGAAUAUUGCACAAUGGGCGCAAGCCUGAUGCAGCAACGCCGCGUGAGGGACGACGGCCUUCGGGUUGUAAACCUCUUUUAGUAGGGAAGAAGCGACGUGUUUUACACGGAGUGACGGUACCUGCAGAAAAAGCACCGGCUAACUACGUGCCAGCAGCCGCGGUAAUACGUAGGGUGCAAGCGUUAUCCGGAAUUAUUGGGCGUAAAGAGCUCGUAGGCGGUUUGUCGCGUCUGCUGUGAAAACUGGGGGCUCAACCCCCAGCCUGCAGUGGGUACGG